CCUACGGGAGACAGCAGUGAGGAAUAUUGGUCAAUGGCCGUAAGGCUGAACCAGCCAAGUCGCGUGAAGGAAGACGGAUCUAUGGGUUGUAAACUUCUUUUAUAGGGGAAUAAAGGUAUCCACGUGUGGCUAUUUGCAUGUACCCUAUGAAUAAGCAUCGGCUAACUCCGUGCCAGCAGCCGCGGUAAUACGGAGGAUGCGAGCGUUAUCCGGAUUUAUUGGGUUUAAAGGGUGCGUAGGUUGUUUUUUAAGUCAGCGGUGAAAGUUUGUGGCUCAACCAUAAAAUUGCCGUUGAAACUGGAAGACUUGAGUGUGUUUGAGGUAGGCGGAAUGCGUGGUGUAGCGGUGAAAUGCAUAGAUAUCACGCAGAACUCCGAUUGCGAAGGCAGCUUACUAAGCCAUAACUGACACUGAAGCACGAAAGCGUGGGGAUCAAACAGGAUUAGAUACCCCUGUAGUC
Molecule: ribosomal RNA, 460 nt
Filed under: uncultured bacterium
Lineage: Bacteria
Description: partial 16S ribosomal RNA
Rfam family: Bacterial small subunit ribosomal RNA
Source: RNAcentral